UGGUAACGCGAGAAUGUCGUGAUUCGAUAACGGUUAGGCGGCUGGUAUGCCAGCUUGCUGAAGCUUAAACGACACGACGGUAAAAAUUCUUGAAACGGCGAGAAUUGCGAAAUAUCGGACGCGUUACGAGGGGCUGCGGAAAAUUCUAGAGUUGCGUCUCGAGAUCACGGACGAAGGAUGGAGGCAGCAGCCGUAGCUUGUUUCUUAUAUACGUAUAUAUCUUUAUUUCCGUAUUAUAUAUGCAUUUUCGUGUGUUUUCACAUGUGUGUGUGUGUGUGUUUAUAGUGUGUGUAGUUUUUUCUUUUUUUUUUUGCAGUUUGUGUAUUUACAUACGUGUACAUGUAUGUUUUUGUGCGUGCGUGCGUUUACGUGAAUAGUAUAGAUGU
Apis dorsata (giant honeybee) is the source of this 386-nucleotide long non-coding RNA. RefSeq lists it as uncharacterized. The transcript has 2 exons. The record is from RefSeq and is a predicted model, not a curated record. Lineage: Eukaryota; Metazoa; Arthropoda; Insecta; Hymenoptera; Apidae.